AGAUAACCAGUCCACGCCCGCCUUUCUUGCCGCCGUUUACAGAUUUCUCCUGUUCUAACCUGUUCUGUUCUGUUCUGUUUAACCUGUUCUGUUCCUGUUCUGUUAGUAAAUCUACGUUGUAAAGAACAGCAGUGGCCUACCCCGUGAUCCACGGCGUAAAGAUUCUUAGACAAGCCACAAGGUAACCAGUCCACGAACUAUAACGCGGUCUAGCCUAUAGUACUGCUCAAGAGUCAAGGGGUCGUUGUCGUAUCACUAUCAGAUAAACAGAAUCAUCGAAAAACCGAUUGCCAUAAGCAAUGGUUAAUGGGGCAUGCACUGAAUUAGAUGAAGAGCCUCAGCCUCAGCCACAGAUGAGAGUGAAGAUAGGUUCUUCUCCCACUACUACUGUCACCACACCCCUAAUGGGUCAGCAGCAAUCAGCCGAGGCAUAUUUAGCGAAACACAAAAUUCUUCAAAGAUUUCAGGAUAUGAUGUCAUUACUGGUUGUUGAACAGCCUGACGAUCCAAUUGGAUACCUAUAUGACAAUCUGUCGGAUGUAUGGAAGCAGUGAGAACAGCCAACAGCUAACAUAAGUUGCGAGUAGUAUUUCACUUCUACUAAAGUAAUGUGUAUAUAUUACUGUGUAUAUAUGUAAUAAAAUGUCCUGUUCAAUUUGUAUUCAAAUAGCACAUUUGUAUUCAAGUUUAUGUAGUGUACUGUAAAAACUUAUAGUAGCAAUUACAUAAUAAAAACACCAAAAGUACUGAU
RNAcentral lists this long non-coding RNA (751 nucleotides) under Priapulus caudatus. RNAcentral's name for it is "uncharacterized LOC106814094, transcript variant X1". Lineage: Eukaryota; Metazoa; Priapulida; Priapulimorpha; Priapulimorphida; Priapulidae. The record is from RNAcentral.